GCUCAGUUGGUAGAGCAUGGUAGAGCAUGGUGUUUGCAACACCAGGGUUGUGGGUUCGAUUCCCAC
RNAcentral lists this transfer RNA (66 nucleotides) under Salmo salar (Atlantic salmon). It matches the Rfam family "tRNA", at positions 10 to 63 of the family's 71-position model. From Rfam's summary of the family: Transfer RNA (tRNA) molecules are approximately 80 nucleotides in length. The record is from Rfam by way of RNAcentral. Lineage: Eukaryota; Metazoa; Chordata; Actinopteri; Salmoniformes; Salmonidae.